CCCAGGUGAAACUUCCUUCUUCGCGAACGCGAGGAGCACUAAAAUCCAUUGACCACUUAUUCCUCCUUCGCGAACACGACAUACUCCACGCUAACACGAUGCUUCCACCCUCCAAGCCUUCGCGAACGCGACUGAACCUAAGCUAACGCAAAGCACAAAAUCCUGGGGACCCAGCCGCUCCAACUACUCUACGCGAACGCGGGACCAACAUCGCAAACGCGAAGGGCAAUUCUCCUGCCUCGCUUCACAUCCCUUCGCGAACGCGAGAGCCCUCUCGCGAACGCAAAGGCCAAAUAUCUGCAACACUGAACUGAAGAAAUCUGCAACUUUCAAAACAAGAAUUUGAUCCGUUUAACCACCCGAAACUCACCCAAGGCCCUCGGGACCUCAACCAAACAUGCCAACACAUCCCAUAACAUCAUUCAAACUUGUUCCAACCUUUGGAACGCUCAAAACAACAUCAAAACAUCAAAUGAUCAUCGGAUUCAAGCCUAAGAAAUUCCAAAACUUUCAAAUUACGCUUUCGAUCAAAAAGUCUAUCAAACCUCGCCCGAAUGACCUGAAAUUUUGCACACACGUCCCAAAUGACACAACGGACCUACUUCAACUUCUGGAAUUCCAUUCCGACCCCUAUAUCAAAAUCUCCA
This 647-nucleotide long non-coding RNA is filed under the name Nicotiana tabacum (common tobacco). Its description in RNAcentral is "long non-coding RNA (NTAB_LNC009159)". Lineage: Eukaryota; Viridiplantae; Streptophyta; Magnoliopsida; Solanales; Solanaceae. The record is from RNAcentral.